This 68-nucleotide transfer RNA is filed under the name Ictidomys tridecemlineatus (thirteen-lined ground squirrel). Its description in RNAcentral is "Spermophilus tridecemlineatus (thirteen-lined ground squirrel) tRNA". It matches the Rfam family "tRNA". Rfam says of the family: Transfer RNA (tRNA) molecules are approximately 80 nucleotides in length. Their secondary structure includes four short double-helical elements and three loops (D, anti-codon, and T loops). Further hydrogen bonds mediate the characteristic L-shaped molecular structure. tRNAs have two regions of fundamental functional importance: the anti-codon, which is responsible for specific mRNA codon recognition, and the 3' end, to which the tRNAs corresponding amino acid is attached (by aminoacyl-tRNA synthetases). tRNAs cope with the degeneracy of the genetic code in two manners: having more than one tRNA (with a specific anti-codon) for a particular amino acid; and 'wobble' base-pairing, i.e. permitting non-standard base-pairing at the 3rd anti-codon position. Lineage: Eukaryota; Metazoa; Chordata; Mammalia; Rodentia; Sciuridae. The record is from Rfam by way of RNAcentral.
GGAAUUGUGGCUCAGUGGUAGAGCACUUGGCUAGCAUGCAUGAGGCACUGGGUUUGAUCCCUGCACCA